This 261-nucleotide ribosomal RNA is filed under the name Schistocerca lineata (birdwing grasshopper). RNAcentral describes it as "partial 16S ribosomal RNA". The record is from RNAcentral. Lineage: Eukaryota; Metazoa; Arthropoda; Insecta; Orthoptera; Acrididae.
UUAUUUAUUUUAUUAUAUUUAUUUUUUGUUUAUUUAAUUAUUUAAUAAAAAUAAUUUUAUUGAAUUUUGUCUUAGUAUAUUUUGUAGAAUUGAUUUUUUAAAUUAUAGUUUAUUGGUAAUGUAAUUGUUUUAUGAAAUAUUAUUUUAAAUUUUUAAAAGUAUAUUUUAUUUAUUGUACCUUUUGKAUCAGGGUUUAUCMAAAUUUUAGUAUUUAAUUUACUUGGGUCGAUUUGGGUUGAUUUAUAAAUAAUUUAUAGUUAA